CAAUGUAUUUAGCUGACUGAUACUAAUAGAUCGAAGGCUUGAUCAAAUUAUUUACU
Molecule: ribosomal RNA, 56 nt
Filed under: Clostridium tetani
Lineage: Bacteria; Bacillati; Bacillota; Clostridia; Eubacteriales; Clostridiaceae
Description: partial 23S ribosomal RNA
Source: RNAcentral